UACAGAGGGUGCGAGCGUUGUCCGGAUUUAUUGGGCGUAAAGAGCGUGUAGGCGGCCAGGUAGGUCUGCUGUGAAAACUCGAGGCUUAACCUCGAGCUGUCGGCGGAAACCAUCUGGCUAGAGUCCGGAAGAGGAGAAUGGAAUUCCCUGUGUAGCGGUGAAAUGCGCAGAUAUCGGGAAGAACACCCGUGGCGAAGGCGGUUCUCUGGGACGGUACUGACGCUGAGACGCGAAAGCGUGGGGAGCGAACAGG
RNAcentral lists this ribosomal RNA (253 nucleotides) under uncultured bacterium. RNAcentral describes it as "partial 16S ribosomal RNA". It matches the Rfam family "Bacterial small subunit ribosomal RNA", at positions 524 to 776 of the family's 1533-position model. The record is from RNAcentral.